Molecule: small nuclear RNA, 151 nt
Filed under: Astyanax mexicanus (Mexican tetra)
Lineage: Eukaryota; Metazoa; Chordata; Actinopteri; Characiformes; Acestrorhamphidae
Description: U1 spliceosomal RNA (ENSAMXG00000027253.2)
Source: RNAcentral
UUUCAUAACUGUUAUGGGGGAUGCCAUGGUUAAGAAGGUGGUUCACCCAGGAAGAGGCUUAGCCAUGGCCAUCUAUUUGUGCUGAUCCCUGCAAAUACCCCAUAUGUUGGAAUUUGGACUGCUUAAUAUCUGGUAGUAAGGUAUUGCCAUG